RNAcentral lists this ribosomal RNA (425 nucleotides) under uncultured bacterium. RNAcentral describes it as "bacterial SSU rRNA". It matches the Rfam family "Bacterial small subunit ribosomal RNA", at positions 354 to 796 of the family's 1533-position model. The record is from RNAcentral.
GUGGGGAAUAUUGGACAAUGGGCGAAAGCCUGAUCCAGCAAUGCCGCGUGAGUGAUGAAGGCCUUAGGGUUGUAAAGCUCUUUUACCAGGGAUGAUAAUGACAGUACCUGGAGAAUAAGCUCCGGCUAACUCCGUGCCAGCAGCCGCGGUAAUACGGAGGGAGCUAGCGUUGUUCGGAAUUACUGGGCGUAAAGCGCACGUAGGCGGUUACUCAAGUCAGAGGUGAAAGCCCGGGGCUCAACCCCGGAACUGCCUUUGAAACUAGGUGACUAGAAUCUUGGAGAGGUCAGUGGAAUUCCGAGUGUAGAGGUGAAAUUCGUAGAUAUUCGGAAGAACACCAGUGGCGAAGGCGACUGACUGGACAAGUAUUGACGCUGAGGUGCGAAAGCGUGGGGAGCAAACAGGAUUAGAUACCCCUGUAGUCC